RNAcentral lists this ribosomal RNA (255 nucleotides) under uncultured prokaryote. Its description in RNAcentral is "partial 16S ribosomal RNA". It matches the Rfam family "Bacterial small subunit ribosomal RNA", at positions 523 to 777 of the family's 1533-position model. The record is from RNAcentral.
AUACGUAGGGUGCGAGCGUUGUCCGGAAUUAUUGGGCGUAAAGAGCUCGUAGGCGGCGUGUCGCGUCGGAUGUGAAAGCUCGGGGCUUAACCCUGGGUCUGCAUUCGAUACGGGCAGGCUGGAGUUCGGUAGGGGAGAUCGGAAUUCCUGGUGUAGCGGUGAAAUGCGCAGAUAUCAGGAGGAACACCGGUGGCGAAGGCGGAUCUCUGGGCCGAUACUGACGCUGAGGAGCGAAAGCAUGGGGAGCGAACAGGA